This 253-nucleotide ribosomal RNA is filed under the name uncultured bacterium. RNAcentral describes it as "partial 16S ribosomal RNA". It matches the Rfam family "Bacterial small subunit ribosomal RNA", at positions 524 to 776 of the family's 1533-position model. The record is from RNAcentral.
UACGGAGGGUGCAAGCGUUGUUCGGAAUUAUUGGGCGUAAAGCGCGUGCAGGCGGUUCGUUAAGUCUGAUGUGAAAGCCCUGGGCUCAACCCAGGAAGUGCAUUGGAAACUGGCGAACUUGAGUAUGGGAGAGGGAAGUGGAAUUCCGAGUGUAGGGGUGAAAUCCGUAGAUAUUCGGAGGAACACCAGUGGCGAAGGCGGCUUCCCGGACCAAUACUGACGCUGAGACGCGAAAGCGUGGGGAGCAAACAGG